RNAcentral lists this ribosomal RNA (375 nucleotides) under uncultured organism. RNAcentral's name for it is "bacterial SSU rRNA". It matches the Rfam family "Archaeal small subunit ribosomal RNA", at positions 476 to 851 of the family's 1478-position model. The record is from RNAcentral.
CCAGCACCCCGAGUGGUCGGGACGAUUAUUGGGCCUAAAGCAUCCGUAGCCGGUUUUACAAGUCCUCCGUUAAAUCCAACUGCUUAACAGAUGGGCCGCGGAGGAUACUAUAAGACUAGGAGGCAGGAGAGGCAAGCGGUACUCCGUGGGUAGGGGUAAAAUCCGUUGAUCCAUUGAAGAUCACCAGUGGCGAAGGCGGCUUGCCAGAAUGCGCUCGACGGUGAGGGAUGAAAGCUGGGGGAGCAAACCGGAUUAGAUACCCGGGUAGUCCCAGCUGUAAACGAUGCAGACUCGGUGAUGGACUAGCUUCAUGCUAGUCCAGUGCCGCAGGGAAGCCGUUAAGUCUGCCGCCUGGGUAGUACGGUCGCAAGACUG